Ruditapes philippinarum (Manila clam) is the source of this 411-nucleotide long non-coding RNA. RefSeq lists it as uncharacterized. The transcript is spliced from 3 exons. NCBI's taxonomy places the organism in Eukaryota, Metazoa, Mollusca, Bivalvia, Venerida, Veneridae. The record is from RefSeq and is a predicted model, not a curated record.
UGUGCUACUUCGAUAUGACAAUGACGCUAAGAUUUUACAAGAGUAAUAAUCUAAUUUUUUAUUUAAGAAUAUUAUGGAUGACAACAUUUGUUCCUACAACACUUUGUUUUUCUUCCUUUAGACCCGACUUUAACUGGAUAUUUUAUUCAAAAAAGAUCAUAACUCGAGGAAAGACUGACCUUAACGAUGGUGCCCAGAUGUUUGAAAUAUGGAUACACAAUCAUAUAUCCCUAGUUAAAAACACUUCGAGCUAUAUAAACCUGGAAGUUAACAUUGAGACUUCAUUGCAUGUCGUUUCAGCGACUGAUGUGCCCUGCAAACUGACAAGGACUUACAUUCCGCUAGCUUUUGCUGGAUUGUCUGUUUCUAUACUUCUCAUUGGAAUUAUGUUGGUUAAAACUCGACGUGAAG